Molecule: ribosomal RNA, 497 nt
Filed under: uncultured bacterium
Lineage: Bacteria
Description: partial 16S ribosomal RNA
Rfam family: Bacterial small subunit ribosomal RNA
Source: RNAcentral
GAUGAACGCUGGCGGCGUGCCUAAUACAUGCAAGUCGAGCGAACGGACGAGAAGCUUGCUUUUCUGAUGUUAGCGGCGGACGGGUGAGUAACACGUGGAUAACCUACCUAUAAGACUGGGAUAACUUCGGGAAACCGGAGCUAAUACCGGAUAAUAUUUUGAACCGCAUGGUUCAAAAGUGAAAGACGGUCUUGCUGUCACUUAUAGAUGGAUCCGCGCUGCAUUAGCUAGUUGGUAAGGUAACGGCUUACCAAGGCUACGAUGCAUAGCCGACCUGAGAGGGUGAUCGGCCACACUGGAACUGAGACACGGUCCAGACUCCUACGGGAGGCAGCAGUAGGGAAUCUUCCGCAAUGGGCGAAAGCCUGACGGAGCAACGCCGCGUGAGUGAUGAAGGUCUUCGGAUCGUAAAACUCUGUUAUUAGGGAAGAACAUAUGUGUAAGUAACUGUGCACAUCUUGACGGUACCUAAUCAGAAAGCCACGGCUAACUACGUG